AUCAGACACACUGGAACUGAGACACGGUCCAGACUCCUACGGGAGGCAGCAGUGAGGAAUAUUGCACAAUGGAGGAAACUCUGAUGCAGCAACGCCGCGUGGAGGAUGACGCAUUUCGGUGUGUAAACUCCUUUUAUUAGGGAAGAUAAUGACGGUACCUAAUGAAUAAGCACCGGCUAACUCCGUGCCAGCAGCCGCGGUAAUACGGAGGGUGCAAGCGUUACUCGGAAUCACUGGGCGUAAAGGGUGCGUAGGCUGGCUUUUAAGUCAGAUGUGAAAUCCAAUGGCUCAACCAUUGAACUGCAUUUGAAACUGAAAGCCUAGAGUUCAGAAGGGGCAGAUGGAAUUAGUGGUGUAGGGGUAAAAUCCGUAGGUAUCACUAGGAAUAUCAAAAGCC
This 397-nucleotide ribosomal RNA is filed under the name uncultured bacterium. RNAcentral's name for it is "bacterial SSU rRNA". It matches the Rfam family "Bacterial small subunit ribosomal RNA", at positions 303 to 717 of the family's 1533-position model. The record is from RNAcentral.